AACGAACGCUGGCGGCAUGCCUAACACAUGCAAGUCGAACGGGACCGCCCGGGCUUGUUUCGCUCGGGUGGGUGCGGCCUGGGAAGCUACCUGUAGGUGCGGUGUAACUCACUGCAGUUUAAGCCAAUACAGGUUGAUGUAUUCGGGCCAAAGACUUGUCGCCGUUAGAUGGGCCGGCGUUGGUUUAGCUAGUUGGUGGGGUACAGGACUACCAAGGCGACGAUCCAUAGCUGGUCGGAGAGGAGGAUCAGUCACACUGGGACUGAGACACGGCCCAGACGCGUACGGGAGGUAGGAGUGGGGAAUAAUGGAGAAUGGGCGUAAGGCUGAUCCAGCGAGGCCGCGUGGGUGAUGAAGGGCUUGGGGUUGUAAAGCUCUUUGGACCGAGAUGAUAGUGACGGUACCGGGAGAAGAAGCACCGGCUAACUACGUG
RNAcentral lists this ribosomal RNA (433 nucleotides) under uncultured bacterium. RNAcentral describes it as "partial 16S ribosomal RNA". It matches the Rfam family "Bacterial small subunit ribosomal RNA", at positions 28 to 507 of the family's 1533-position model. The record is from RNAcentral.